GAUGAACGCUGGCGGCGUGCUUAACACAUGCAAGUCGAACGAUGAAGCCCAGCUUGCUGGGUGGAUUAGUGGCGAACGGGUGAGUAACACGUGAGUAACCUGCCCUUAACUCUGGGAUAAGCCUGGGAAACUGGGUCUAAUACCGGAUAGGAGCGCCUACCGCAUGGUGGGUGUUGGAAAGAUUUAUCGGUUUUGGAUGGACUCGCGGCCUAUCAGCUUGUUGGUGAGGUAAUGGCUCACCAAGGCGACGACGGGUAGCCGGCCUGAGAGGGUGACCGGCCACACUGGGACUGAGACACGGCCCAGACUCCUACGGGAGGCAGCAGUGGGGAAUAUUGCACAAUGGGCGCAAGCCUGAUGCAGCGACGCCGCGUGAGGGAUGACGGCCUUCGGGUUGUAAACCUCUUUCAGUAGGGAAGAAGCGAAAGUGACGGUACCUGCAGAAGAAGCACCGGCUAACUACGUGCCAGCAGCCGCGGUAAUACGUAGGGUGCGAGCGUUAUCCGGAAUUAUUGGGCGUAAAGAGCUCGUAGCGGUUUGUCGCGUCUGUCGUGAAAGUCCGGGGCUUAACCCCGGAUCUGCGGUGGGUACGGGCAGACUAGAGUGCAGUAGGGGAGACUGGAAUUCCUGGUGUAGCGGUGGAAUGCGCAGAUAUCAGGAGGAACACCGAUGGCGAAGGCAGGUCUCUGGGCUGUAACUGACGCUGAGGAGCGAAAGCAUGGGGAGCGAACAGGAUUAGAUACCCUGGUAGUCCAUGCCGUAAACGUUGGGCACUAGGUGUGGGGACCAUUCCACGGUUUCCGCGCCGCAGCUAACGCAUUAAGUGCCCCGCCUGGGGAGUACGGCCGCAAGGCUAAAACUCAAAGGAAUUGACGGGGGCCCGCACAAGCGGCGGAGCAUGCGGAUUAAUUCGAUGCAACGCGAAGAACCUUACCAAGGCUUGACAUGUUCUCGAUCGCCGUAGAGAUACGGUUUCCCCUUUGGGGCGGGUUCACAGGUGGUGCAUGGUUGUCGUCAGCUCGUGUCGUGAGAUGUUGGGUUAAGUCCCGCAACGAGCGCAACCCUCGUUCCAUGUUGCCAGCACGUCGUGGUGGGGACUCAUGGGAGACUGCCGGGGUCAACUCGGAGGAAGGUGAGGACGACGUCAAAUCAUCAUGCCCCUUAUGUCUUGGGCUUCACGCAUGCUACAAUGGCCGGUACAAUGGGUUGCGAUACUGUGAGGUGGAGCUAAUCCCAAAAAGCCGGUCUCAGUUCGGAUUGGGGUCUGCAACUCGACCCCAUGAAGUCGGAGUCGCUAGUAAUCGCAGAUCAGCAACGCUGCGGUGAAUACGUUCCCGGGCCU
This 1342-nucleotide ribosomal RNA is filed under the name uncultured bacterium. Its description in RNAcentral is "bacterial SSU rRNA". It matches the Rfam family "Bacterial small subunit ribosomal RNA", at positions 28 to 1381 of the family's 1533-position model. The record is from RNAcentral.